GCUGGGUGUGGUGGUGCACGCCUGUAAUCCCAGCUACUCAGGAGGCUGAGGCACAAGAAUUGCUUGAGCCCGGGAGGCGGAGGUUGCAGUGAGCGAAGAUCAUACCACUGCACUCCAGCCUGGGUGACAGAGUGAGACUUUGUCUCAC
Unclassified non-coding RNA from Macaca fascicularis (crab-eating macaque), 148 nucleotides. It matches the Rfam family "Metazoan signal recognition particle RNA". Rfam says of the family: The signal recognition particle (SRP) is a universally conserved ribonucleoprotein. It is involved in the co-translational targeting of proteins to membranes. Lineage: Eukaryota; Metazoa; Chordata; Mammalia; Primates; Cercopithecidae. The record is from Ensembl.